UACAUAGGGUGCAAGCGUUGUCCGGAAUUAUUGGGCGUAAAGAGCUCGUAGGUCGUUUGUUACGUCGGAUGUGAAAACCUGAGGCUCAACCUCAGGCCUGCAUUCGAUACGGGCAAACUAGAGUUUGGUAGGGGAGACUGGAAUUCCUGGUGUAGCGGUGGAAUGCGCAGAUAUCAGGAGGAACACCAAUGGCGAAGGCAGGUCUCUGGGCCAAUACUGACACUGAGGAGCGAAAGUCUGGGGAGCGAACAGGAUUAGAUACCCUGGUAGUCCAGACCGUAAACGGUGGGCACUAGUUGUGGGAACCUUCCACGGUUUCUGCGACGCAGCUAACGCAUUAAGUGCCCCGCCUGGGGAGUACGAUCGCAAGAUUAAAACUCAAAGGAAUUGACGGGGCCCCGCACAAGCAGCGGAGCAUGCGGCUUAAUUCGACGCAACGCGAAGAACCUUACCAAGGCUUGACAUAUAGGGAAAAGUGGCAGAGAUGUCAUGUCCGCAAGGGCUCUAUACAGGUGGUGCAUGGUUGUCGUCAGCUCGUGUCGUGAGAUGUUGGGUUAAGUCCCGCAACGAGCGCAACCCUCGUUCUGUGUUGCCAGCAUUUAGUUGGGGACUCACAGGAGACUGCCGGGGUUAACUCGGAGGAAG
RNAcentral lists this ribosomal RNA (645 nucleotides) under uncultured bacterium. RNAcentral describes it as "bacterial SSU rRNA". It matches the Rfam family "Bacterial small subunit ribosomal RNA", at positions 524 to 1172 of the family's 1533-position model. The record is from RNAcentral.